This 409-nucleotide ribosomal RNA is filed under the name uncultured bacterium. RNAcentral describes it as "bacterial SSU rRNA". It matches the Rfam family "Bacterial small subunit ribosomal RNA", at positions 355 to 776 of the family's 1533-position model. The record is from RNAcentral.
UGGGGAAUAUUGCACAAUGGGCGAAAGCCUGAUGCAGCGACGCCGCGUGAGGGAUGAAGGCCUUCGGGUUGUAAACCUCUUUCAGUAGGGAAGAAGCGAAAGUGACGGUACCUGCAGAAGAAGCGCCGGCUAACUACGUGCCAGCAGCCGCGGUAAUACGUAGGGCGCAAGCGUUGUCCGGAAUUAUUGGGCGUAAAGAGCUCGUAGGCGGUUUGUCACGUCUGGUGUGAAAAUCCAUGGCUCAACUGUGGACUUGCAUCGGGUACGGGCAGACUAGAGUGCGGUAGGGGAGACUGGAAUUCCUGGUGUAGCGGUGGAAUGCGCAGAUAUCAGGAGGAACACCGAUGGCGAAGGCAGGUCUCUGGGCCGCAACUGACGCUGAGGAGCGAAAGCAUGGGGAGCGAACAGG